UACGUAGGGGGCGAGCGUUAUCCGGAAUUAUUGGGCGUAAAGCGUGCGCGGGCGGUUUUGUAAGCCAGAUGUGAAAUCCCCGGGCUUAACCUGGGAAUGGCAUUUGGGACUGCAAGGCUUGAGUGCGGCAGAGGAGACUGGAAUUCCUGGUGUAGCAGUGAAAUGCGUAGAUAUCAGGAGGAACACCGAUGGCGAAGGCAGGUCUCUGGGCUGACACUGACGCUCAUGCACGAAAGCGUGGGGAGCAAACAGG
RNAcentral lists this ribosomal RNA (253 nucleotides) under uncultured bacterium. RNAcentral describes it as "partial 16S ribosomal RNA". It matches the Rfam family "Bacterial small subunit ribosomal RNA", at positions 524 to 776 of the family's 1533-position model. The record is from RNAcentral.